Molecule: long non-coding RNA, 1293 nt
Organism: Siniperca chuatsi (mandarin fish)
Lineage: Eukaryota; Metazoa; Chordata; Actinopteri; Centrarchiformes; Sinipercidae
Exons: 3
Source: RefSeq, a predicted model, not a curated record
GCGUGCACACUUCUGUUGAGGACCAAUGAGCAGAUACACAAGAGAAGGUGGUGAUCAGUUUUUUUUCUUCUCCCCAAACUGGUGCAGGAGUUUGGACAGGCAACCUUCCAGUUACAAACAGGCUGAUGUUGGUCCCCAUGUGCAGCUUAAACUAUCUGCAACCUGACUGAAGAAAAAUCCUUAAAACCUCUGUGAUGAAAAAGACAAAAAAGAUUUCAGGUACAGUCUGAUGCGCUUGUGAUGCGGUUGGAAAGCUGGUUACCUGGCUGUGUGAUCUGUGCGUCACUCGAACAGCUCUACCCUCCCUGCUCCAACUGGCUAACAGCUAAAAUACCUUAUUGAGGAGGAGGCUGAACAGACUGCGUGACAGGACAAGGCGGGACCAAACAGACGGUACUGGGACGCUGCACAAGACCACCAUUAAGACUGCAGGAGAGAGAGUGUGUGAACAAGCAUGAUGAAUACGUUUGUGACCGCUGUGACACAGCACCCUUUUUGUCACCCAAUGUUAUCUUAAUUAUACUAAACUUGGUAGAUGAGAAGUAGCCAAACUCCGGCCUGGUCUUUAAAGCCAAGACUUGCUAUAACCCCAUCUAUCUUCCCAGAUUUGGCAAAGGUAGACUAACCACACCACAGGGUAGCAAACAAACCACCUUGACAGAUGUCCAAAUUACAAGUAAACAGCCUAGCAGGGGAGACAAACAAAUGACCAAAGCAGGGAGGGGAGAGGCAAGAAAGGCUGGGCUUGCCAGCAGCCAUACUGAAAUAGCACGGCAGCGUGAGUCACGGUGUGUCAAUGUCAGGGAGCCAGUUGGGCACAUAUAUUCAUCUUUUUAAGGUGGAACACCACUGGGACAAGCAUGGCGCUUCUGGCAGAGGGAGGCAGUCACUCAGCCCCUCAAAGAGCUACGUGAGUGGAAUACAGCCAGCAGAUUCUGGGCCACACACUAUAUUCAUGACCCCCUGAAUCUCUGCAAUUAAAUGUCCACUCUGACAGUGCAAUUGAUCUUUUUUCAUCCCUUUACAACAAUCAGUUGUUAUUCACCAAUGUCCUUCCCAUCAUAAACAUAUACUCUGCAGCCUGGCUGGUGUCAGUUACACCAUGCAAUAAUGAGUUCAGAGGUAGCAUCGUUACAAGCGUUGUCGGUCAUCAUCCAGUUCUAUCUGUUGUCUUGUUAUACCGUGAAACUGGUUUGAUUGCUUCCUCUGACCAAGCACAGUGCAUUUUCAGCUGCUCCUGCCCUGCAUGCCUUCCAUGCUGCAGAAUAAAUAAUAAAGAGGCAAAUGCAAGGA